RNAcentral lists this ribosomal RNA (1482 nucleotides) under uncultured Bordetella sp. RNAcentral describes it as "partial 16S-23S ribosomal RNA intergenic spacer". It matches the Rfam family "Bacterial small subunit ribosomal RNA". The record is from RNAcentral. Lineage: Bacteria; Pseudomonadati; Pseudomonadota; Betaproteobacteria; Burkholderiales; Alcaligenaceae.
AGUUCGAUCAUGGCUCAGAUUGAACGCUGGCGGGGAUGCUUACACACGCAAGUCGAACGGCAGCACGGACUUCGGUCUGCGGGCGAGUGGCGAACGGGUGAGUAAUGUAUCGGAAACGUGCCUAGUAGCGGGGGAUAACUACGCGAAAGCGUAGCUACUACCGCAUACGCCCUUCGGGGAAAGCGGGGACCUUCGGGCCUCGCACUAUUAGAGCGGCCGAUAUCGGAUUAGCUAGUUGGCGUGCGCUCACCAAGGCGACGAUCCGUAGCUGGUUUGAGAGGACGACCAGCCACACUGGGACUGAGACACGGCCCAGACUCCUACGGGAGUGCGCAGUGGGGAAUUUUGGAUAAUGGGGGAAACCCUGAUCCAGCCAUCCCCGCGUGUGCGAUGAAGGCCUCCGGGUUGUAAAGCACUUUUUGGCAGGAAGAAACGAUGGCACGGGAUAAUACCCCGUGCAACCACGGUACCUGCAGAAUAAGCACCGGCUAACUACGUGCCAGCAGCCGCGGUAAUACGUAGGGUGCAAGUGUUAAUCGGAAUUACUGGGCGUAAAGCGUGCGCAGGCGGUUCGGAAAGCGAAAGAUGUGAAAUCCCAGAGCUUAACUUUGGAACUGCAUUUUUAACUACCGAGCUAGAGUGUGUCAGAGGGAGGUGGAAUUCCGCGUGUAGCAGUGGAAUGCGUAGAUAUGCGGAGGAACACCGAUGGCGAAGGCAGCCUCCUGGGAUAACACUGACGCUCAUGCACGAAAGCGUGGGAGCAAACAGGAUUAGAUACUCCUGGUAGUCCACGCCCUAAACGAUGUCAACUAGCUGUUGGGGCCUCGGGCCUGGUAGCGCAGCUAACGGCAGAAGUUGACCGCCUGGGGAGUACGGUCGCAAGAUUAAAACUCAAAGGAAUUGACGGGGACCUGCACAAGCGGUGGAUGAUGUGGAUUAAUUCGAUGCAACGCGAAACCUUACCUACUCCUUGAUAUGUCUGGAAUCCCUGAAGAGAUUUGGGAGGUUUGCAAGAGAACCGGAACACAGGUGCUGCAUGGCUGUCGUCAGCUCGUGUCGUGAGAUGUUGGGUUAAGUCCCGCAACGAGCACAACCCUUGUCAUUAGUUGCUGGCUUGAAAGCGGCAAUUUAAUGACUGCUGUGACAAACCGGAGGAAGGUGGGGAUGACGUCAAGUCCUCAUGGCCCUAUGGGUAGGGCUUCACACGUCAUACAAUGGUCGUGGGACAGAGGGUCGCCAACCUGCUAGGUAGAGCCAAUCCCAGAAACCCGAUCGUAGUCCGGAUCGCAGUCUUGCAACUCGACUGCGUGUCGGAAUCGCUAGUAAUCGCGGAUCAGCAUGUCGCGGUGAAUACGUUCCCUGGUCUUGUACACACCGCCCGUCACACCAUGGGAGUGGGUUUUACCAGAAGUAGUUAGCCUAACCGUAAGGAGGGCGAUUACCACGGUAGAUUCAUGACUGGGUGAAGUCGUAACAAGGUAA